RNAcentral lists this ribosomal RNA (253 nucleotides) under uncultured bacterium. Its description in RNAcentral is "partial 16S ribosomal RNA". It matches the Rfam family "Bacterial small subunit ribosomal RNA", at positions 524 to 776 of the family's 1533-position model. The record is from RNAcentral.
UACAGAGGUCUCAAGCGUUGUUCGGAUUCAUUGGGCGUAAAGGGUGCGUAGGUGGCGCUGUAAGUCGGGUGUGAAAUUUCGGAGCUUAACUCCGAAACUGCAUUCGAUACUGCGGUGCUUGAGGACUGGAGAGGAGACUGGAAUUCAUGGUGUAGCAGUGAAAUGCGUAGAGAUCAUGAGGAACACCGGUGGCGAAGGCGGCUUUCUGGGCCUUACCUGACGCUGAGGAGCGAAAGCUGGGGGAGCAAACAGG